CACGUAGGGUGCGAGCGUUGUCCGGAAUUAUUGGGCGUAAAGAGCUCGUAGGCGGUGUGUCGCGUCGGCCGUGAAAACCUGCAGCUUAUCUGUGGGCUUGCGGUCGAUACGGGCAUCACUGGAGUUCGGCAGGGGAGACUGGAAUUCCUGGUGUAGCGGUGAAAUGCGCAGAUAUCAGGAGGAACACCGGUGGCGAAGGCGGGUCUCUGGGCCGAUACUGACGCUGAGGAGCGAAAGCGUGGGGAGCGAACAGG
This 254-nucleotide ribosomal RNA is filed under the name uncultured bacterium. RNAcentral describes it as "partial 16S ribosomal RNA". It matches the Rfam family "Bacterial small subunit ribosomal RNA", at positions 524 to 776 of the family's 1533-position model. The record is from RNAcentral.